Molecule: unclassified non-coding RNA, 200 nt
Filed under: soil metagenome
Description: partial contains internal transcribed spacer 2 and large subunit ribosomal RNA
Source: RNAcentral
UCAUUUACCCCCUCAAGCUCUGCUUGGUGUUGGGCGUCUGUCCCGCUUCGCGCGCGGACUCGCCCCAAAGGUAUUGGCAGCGGUCGUGCCAGCUUCUCGCGCAGCACAUUGCGCUUCUCGAGGCACCGGCGGAUUCGCGUCCAUCAAGCCCACUUCCCCAUUUUGACCUCGGAUCAGGUAGGGAUACCCGCUGAACUUAA